This 465-nucleotide ribosomal RNA is filed under the name uncultured bacterium. RNAcentral's name for it is "partial 16S ribosomal RNA". It matches the Rfam family "Bacterial small subunit ribosomal RNA", at positions 338 to 795 of the family's 1533-position model. The record is from RNAcentral.
CCUACGGGCGGCAGCAGUGGGGAAUAUUGCGCAAUGGGCGAAAGCCUGACGCAGCGACGCCGCGUGAGGGAUGAAGGUCUUCGGAUCGUUAACCUCUGUCAGCAGGGAAGAACGGUCACUGUGCUAAUCAGCAGUGAAUUGACGGUACCUGCAAAGGAAGCACCGGCUAACUCCGUGCCAGCAGCCGGGGUAAUACGGAGGGUGCGAGCGUUAAUCGGAAUUACUGGGCGUAAAGCGCUCGUAGGCGGUAUGUCAAGUCAAGGGUGAAAUCCCCGCGCUUAACGUGGGAACUGCCUUUGAAACUGGCAAACUGGAGUGUGUGAGAGGAUAGUGGAAUGCCAGGUGUAGGAGUGAAAUCCGUAGAUAUCUGGAGGAACAUCAGUGGCGAAGGCGACUAUCUGGCACAUAACUGACGCUGAGGAGCGAAAGCGUGGGUAGCAAACAGGAUUAGAUACCCCAGUAGUC